RNAcentral lists this ribosomal RNA (723 nucleotides) under Triticum aestivum (bread wheat). RNAcentral describes it as "partial small subunit ribosomal RNA". The record is from RNAcentral. Lineage: Eukaryota; Viridiplantae; Streptophyta; Magnoliopsida; Poales; Poaceae.
AUGGUGGCUGACGCGCUUGUCACCAUCUUGGAUAGGGCUAAGGCGGCUGGCCAUAUUCGCAGGAUAACACCCCAUCUGGCCGACGGUUCUGGGAUUUCCCUUCUCCAGUACGCCGACGACACCAUCAUCAUGGUCGAAGGCUCGGAGACGAACAUCUCUAAUCUCAAGUUCCUUCUCCUCUGCUUCCAACAAAUCUCUGGCCUUAAGAUCAACUUCGACAAGAGUGAUGUGAUGGUGAUGGGCUACUCCCCGGCCGAGUGCCAGGACAUAGCCAACCGGCUCAACUGCCGCUUGGGUUCCUUCCCCACGACUUACUUGGGAACGCCCAUUAGUGACUCCCGGCUUACCAUUGCAGACUUGCGUCCGACCAUGGCCAAGCUGCAAACGCGCAUUGAACCUUGGCAGGGUAGGUGGUUGUCUAAGGCGGCUCGGACGAUUCUCAUCAACUCCUCCCUAUCCAGUCUCCUCUUAUUCCUCAUGUGCUUCUACAACCUUCACGAGACUCUGCACCACAAGAUCGCCAAGGUCCAGUCUCGUUUCUAUUGGGCUGGCGACAAUAAUAAGCAGAAAUACCACAUGGUCAGCUGGCCUGACAUUUGCAAGCCCCGGGAACAAGGAGGCCUCGGUAUUAUGUGCUCUAAGCGCAUGAAUAUCGCCCUCUUAUCCCAUUGGCUCUGGCGCAUCUCGCAAGGCCAUGGUGGCCUCUGGCUCGACAUCAUCUAG